UCUAUGUUACAGUACCAUAGGGCAUGUAUUUUGUGGUAACUCUGUGGUACAGUACCACAGGUUCUGUGAUACAUCACCAGAGAAUUUGCUGUACCUGUGGUACUGUAAGGUCGUACCACAUGAAUAUUACAGGAACAUUUUCCAGUACCACAGGAAAUUUUUGUAAGGGGUCUAUUACCUGUAAUUGCCUUAACAAAAUGGAUCCUGUCACUGAAAUGUUGACAUAACAGGUCAACAGAGAAGAUGAGGUAAGUUAUCUCGAUCAUCACGUAUUGAAAUGAUCAUGUUGAGUAUUUGUGUGCAAGAGCCGGACAACGAUUUUAAGUAAUUCUUGCUGAUAGAACACCAAGCUAAUCACAGGUGAGGUCUGGAUGAAUGCUGGCAGAUGACUGACUGGCAGAUGGGAUGACUCAGUGCGUGACUCACUGGUUGAUUUGCCAGCAUUCCUCAGUGGACUCCAGCGGGGUACAGUCUGACCCAGCGUGAUAAUCCCCUCGCUGCCAGGACCCCUAAUCAGUUCUCCUCUUGACCUGGAAUGGGCUAGCUAAUGGAUAAGCUAACCUGACACAGCAAAGGCAAGUAUGCUCACACGCACACAAGCACAUACACACCCACUAAAAACUGUCUGUACAACCUCUCUGUCUUCCUUAAUGAAAGAUAUUCUGGUCAAGAUAUUUUUACUUGACUGGCACUGUCUUCACAGAGAAGGGUAAAAUUUGAGUUUAGGUGUCUGAUGAGAAGACUCUGACAAUGUGACAAUGUAAGAAUAUAUUCUGCUGUGAGGAAGAUGCUAAACUUGACAGUAUAAGGUGUUAAUGCACCGACCAAAACCAAACAUACUGAAAAGCAAACUUCAACAGACAGAACGAGUGGAGAAGCGAAAACUGACGGCAACCUGCUAGCAGCAACAAGUUACUAUGCCGAACGAGGCGCCAACAAAGACUGGCGGCUAUGGCUGCUAUCAAGCAGCUGAAUUACAAUGCUGACUCGGUGGUUUAUAUUGUCAUCUCUGAUUGCAAUGAGAUGGACUGAGAUGGAACCUGGAGGACCAAAGAUGACCACCAGAAUUUCACCAGAAUUAUGUAUUUUAUCAACUCUUGGAACAAU
This is a long non-coding RNA of Acanthopagrus latus (yellowfin seabream), 1107 nucleotides long. RefSeq lists it as uncharacterized. The transcript has 3 exons. The record is from RefSeq and is a predicted model, not a curated record. NCBI's taxonomy places the organism in Eukaryota, Metazoa, Chordata, Actinopteri, Spariformes, Sparidae.